RNAcentral lists this unclassified non-coding RNA (526 nucleotides) under Fusarium petroliphilum. Its description in RNAcentral is "sequence contains 18S rRNA gene, ITS1, 5.8S rRNA gene, ITS2, 28S rRNA gene". The stretch from base 160 to 313 matches the Rfam family "5.8S ribosomal RNA". The record is from RNAcentral. Lineage: Eukaryota; Fungi; Ascomycota; Sordariomycetes; Hypocreales; Nectriaceae.
GAUCAUUACCGAGUUAUUCAACUCAUCAACCCUGUGAACUUACCUAAACGUUGCUUCGGCGGGAAUAGACGGCCCUGUAAAACGGGCCGCCCCCGCCAGAGGACUCUUAACUCUGUUUCUUAUAAUGUUUCUUCUGAGUAAAACAAGCAAAUAAAUUAAAACUUUCAACAACGGAUCUCUUGGCUCUGGCAUCGAUGAAGAACGCAGCGAAAUGCGAUAAGUAAUGUGAAUUGCAGAAUUCAGUGAAUCAUCGAAUCUUUGAACGCACAUUGCGCCCGCCAGUAUUCUGGCGGGCAUGCCUGUUCGAGCGUCAUUACAACCCUCAGGCCCCCGGGCCUGGCGUUGGGGAUCGGCGGAGCGCCCCUCGUGGGCGCACGCCGUCCCCCAAAUACAGUGGCGGUCCCGCCGCAGCUUCCAUCGCGUAGUAGCUAACACCUCGCGACUGGAGAGCGGCGCGGCCACGCCGUAAAACACCCCAACUCUUCUGAAGUUGACCUCGAAUCAGGUAGGAAUACCCGCUGAACCU